CCUACUGGAGACAUCAUUGAGGCAUCUUGGUCAAUGGACGAGAGUCUGAACCAGCCAAGUAGCGUGAAGUCUUCCUUCCCUCUUUUUUUUCCCCUUCUUUUCUCCCUUCCUCCCCCUAUCCACUUUUGCCUUUUUGCAUGUACUUUAUUAAUAAUUCUCUUCUAACUCCGUGCCAUCCUCCGCGGUAAUACGUCGUCUCCUAUCGUUAUCCGGAUUUAUUGGGUUUAAAGUGCUCGUAGAGGGGUUGUUAAGUCAGUUGUGAAAGUUUGCGGCUCAACCGUAAAAUUGCAAUUGAUACUGGCAGUCUUGAGUACAGUUGAGGUAGGCGGAAUUAGUGGUGUAGCGGUGAAAUGCUUAGAGAUCACGAAGAACCCCGAUUGCGAAGGCAGCUUACUAAACUGUGAAUGACAUUGAUGCUCGAAAGUGUGGGUAUCAAACAGGAUUAGAGAGAAAAGUAGUC
Molecule: ribosomal RNA, 460 nt
Filed under: uncultured bacterium
Lineage: Bacteria
Description: partial 16S ribosomal RNA
Rfam family: Bacterial small subunit ribosomal RNA
Source: RNAcentral